Molecule: long non-coding RNA, 755 nt
Organism: Dicentrarchus labrax (European seabass)
Lineage: Eukaryota; Metazoa; Chordata; Actinopteri; Moronidae
Exons: 3
Source: RefSeq, a predicted model, not a curated record
GAUAAAGGGAGGAAAAAAUGCGCUCGUCUUCUUCCACCUUGGUGUGACGUCGCUCCGGGCGAAGCGAAAUCCUCGCUGUCACUCAGAGAGGGAGAGAGAAAGAAACUGCAAUUAGUUUUAGGAGGACCCGGCUGGGAAAAGAAAGGGGUGCUGGUUACUAAUGAUGAUAGAGGAAUAUGACAAGCUCCUACGAGACCAGAUCUGGAUUACAGUCUUUUCCUGCAAUCCCCUUCCGGCCAAUGAAAAAGCAUGAAGAGGAUUUUAAAUCACUGAAACAACAAUGAAGUCCAGACUAGGAGAGACAGACGACUGUCCUCGUCUGUCAGAGCGGCGGGCCAGCACACCUCAGCUUGUUGUCGUCUAAGUCGUGGUCUAACUCAUUGCAGCCCAAUAGGCAGAUGCUCUAGUUCCACAACAACCGUGCACAACGUGUGUGUGUACUUUUCAUGGCACUCACUGCAGUGUUGUGCAGCCCCUCUCCCCACCCCGCGGCCCAUACCAGAGGAAGGAGAGAAUGCACUGACCCUGUACAAGUUUGGCAGACUACCUAUAACAGCUGCGAGGCCAGCCCCACACCUGUCUCCAUACAGCCCAUACACCAAACCACAGAACAAUGCAGCUGUCAGUAUGCAGUCUCUGUUUGAAGAGGAGGUGAUCUCUGAGAUGUGCUCCAGACUGGCAGGCUACCCCAGCAAUGACAGGGCAGAGGGACUGGCAGCUUUACUCGGAGCAUGUGUUGAAUUUGGCUUAGAUGC